This 502-nucleotide ribosomal RNA is filed under the name uncultured bacterium. RNAcentral describes it as "partial 16S ribosomal RNA". It matches the Rfam family "Bacterial small subunit ribosomal RNA", at positions 899 to 1397 of the family's 1533-position model. The record is from RNAcentral.
ACUCAAAUGAAUUGACGGGGACCCGCACAAGCGGUGGAGCAUGUGGAUUAAUUCGAUACUAACCGAAGAACCUUACCCAGGUUUGACAUCGAUCGUAAGCUCUAGAGAUAGGGCCCUCUUCCACAAGAAGACGUGAAGACACUUGUUGCAUGGCUGUCGUCAGCUCGUGCCGUGAGGUGUACGGUUAAGUCCGCCAACGAGCGCAACCCUCGUCCUGUGUUACCAGCGAUUAAAGUCGGGAACUCACAGGAGACCGCCGGUGUAAGCCGGAGGAAGGUGAGGAUGACGUCAAGUCAGCAUGGCAGUUACGCCUGGGGCUUCACACAUGCUACAAUGGAUGAAACAAAGGGCAGCGAUACCGCGAGGUGGAGCCAAUCCCAAAAAUACAUCCCCAGUUCAGAUUGUAGUCUGCAACUCGACUACAUGAAGGCGGAAUCGCUAGUAAACGCAGGUCAGCUAUACUGCGUUGAAUACGUUCCCGGGUCUUGCACACACCGCCCGU